UGGGGAAUAUUGCACAAUGGGCGAAAGCCUGAUGCAGCAACGCCGCGUGAGUGAUGAAGGUCUUCGGAUUGUAAAGCUCUGUCUUUUGGGACGAUAAUGACGGUACCAAAGGAGGAAGCCACGGCUAACUACGUGCCAGCAGCCGCGGUAAUACGUAGGUGGCGAGCGUUGUCCGGAUUUACUGGGCGUAAAGGGUGCGUAGGCGGAUGUUUAAGUGAGAUGUGAAAUACCCGGGCUUAACUUGGGUGCUGCAUUUCAAACUGGAUAUCUAGAGUGCAGGAGAGGAGAAUGGAAUUCCUAGUGUAGCGGUGAAAUGCGUAGAGAUUAGGAAGAACACCAGUGGCGAAGGCGAUUCUCUGGACUGUAACUGACGCUGAGGCACGAAAGCGUGGGUAGCAAACAGGAUUAGAUACCCUGGUAGUCCACGCCGUAAAACGAUGAGUACUAGGUGUAGGAGGUAUCGACCCCUUCUGUGCCGCAGUAAACACAUUAAGUACUCCGCCUGGGAAGUACGAUCGCAAGAUUAAAA
Molecule: ribosomal RNA, 529 nt
Filed under: uncultured bacterium
Lineage: Bacteria
Description: partial 16S ribosomal RNA
Rfam family: Bacterial small subunit ribosomal RNA
Source: RNAcentral